This 20-nucleotide microRNA is filed under the name Drosophila simulans. RNAcentral describes it as "dsi-miR-972-3p". Its record names the gene dsi-miR-972-3p. Lineage: Eukaryota; Metazoa; Arthropoda; Insecta; Diptera; Drosophilidae. The record is from miRBase by way of RNAcentral.
UUUGUACAAUAUUAAUAUUU